RNAcentral lists this long non-coding RNA (1333 nucleotides) under Sus scrofa (pig). RNAcentral's name for it is "lncRNA (ENSSSCG00055020182.1)". The record is from RNAcentral. Lineage: Eukaryota; Metazoa; Chordata; Mammalia; Artiodactyla; Suidae.
GGCCGGCCCCGGGCUCUCGGCCGCCGCGGGAGGGCGUGGGGCGGGGCGGCGGCCGCCGGACUCUCCCCUCGCCUCGCCGGGCCGGGCCGGGGCCGCGCUCGGGCGCCCGCGAUCACCAAGUGACAGAAGUGCCUCGCUCCGCUGCCGCGCCGAGCUGUUUCCCGGGGGCGGAUUUCUCGCUUCUUCCUCCCUGGAUCCACCUCCUCCCACUCCACCUCCUUCCCCUCCCCUCCCCAGGGGAGGCUCCGGGGCUGAAUAUUUUCUGUCUUGAAUAAUAUGGUCCCGGGAACCAACGCUGGAGAAGGGGGAUUAGCCUGGGGCGGGGUGAGGGGUGAUCGCCAACCCCCUCCCAAUGUGUGUCGGGACCUACAAGCCCUCGCCGCCCCCAACACCUCCCCCAAAGCCAGACACACAAAACCCUCCCCGCCUUCGCCAAUCUCUCGAGCUCAGAGCGGGAGCGGCCAGGAACCCGGGCUUCUGCUGCGGAAGGCUCGGUGCUCCGCGUCAGGGCCCGGGAGGGGGACCUUCAUACAGCCAGAUACCCAGAAUUGGGGGAUCCCAGGUCCCAGACGGCGGGGGACACGUCUGGCCUCCUGCUGUGGUUCUGCAGUGGCUGCCGGAUCCACUCAAAGAUAAGUCACCCACUGUGUCUUUGUAGAAAUGGAAAAUCUAGAGCGCAAAUCUAAUCAAAGAUGAAUGGGAAGAAAAUUAAAAGGAUGAAGUAAGAGUUUUAAACUGGGGAGGAAUGGGGAAGAGGAAACAAAGAAAUGAUUAUUGUAGAAGACAAUUCACCCCAGGAAACAGAAGAAAAAUAGAGACAAAUGUUCUCCACCUGGAAGGAAAUCAAAUAUAUCAAAAGUUAAAUGAAAAAAAAAGAAAGAAAGAUAAAGGCGUUCCUGCCGUGGCUCAGUGGUUAAUGGACCCAGCUAAUAUCCAUGAGGAUGCAGGUUCGAUCCCUGGCCUUGCUCAGUGGGUUAGGGAUCUGGCGUUGAUGUGAGCUGUGGUGUGGGUUUGCAGACGAGGCUCAGAUCCCGUGUUGCUGUGGCUGUGGUGUAGGCCGCAGCUAUAGCUCUGAUUUGACACCCAGCCUGGGAACUGCCGUAUACCAUGGGUGCUGCCCUAAAAAGACCAAAAAAAAAAAAAAAAAAAAAAUCCGCUGAGCCACAAGGGGAACUCCCAGGACCAUCUCCUUUGACUCAGAGAUGGAAGUCACUGUGGAAGCUGGCACAGACAUCGCAGCAGGCCUGAACUGCCUACUUCUGGAUUGUUACCAGAAACAGACAAAACCUUCUAUGUCACCAUAAGGACCAUCGUAUUUUAAAAAUCUUUUUGG